Molecule: long non-coding RNA, 1012 nt
Organism: Rhopalosiphum padi (bird cherry-oat aphid)
Lineage: Eukaryota; Metazoa; Arthropoda; Insecta; Hemiptera; Aphididae
Exons: 3
Source: RefSeq, a predicted model, not a curated record
UAGCAGAAACAAUUACAGAAUCUCUUCCUGCAGCUCUAAUAGUAUCAAGAUUCUGUAUCGUCGGAUAUGUGACGUAUACUGCAAUCGACUUCAAUAUUCCAUAUCCAUGCUAUUAAUCGUACGAUGUUUGAGAUUAUUACACAUUGAAUGGAGAGAUACAUUUUCCAAAUAGUGAAUAAAGAAGGAAACAUGUCGGUCGUCGACCAACUUAGAUAUGCGGAGUCAAUGUCGAGAACUAAGGUUCAGUGCACGUACGUGUGUGCAUAUAUCAUAAUAUUGGGUAAUGACCAAUGAGUAAAGUCGAUUACGCGUAAAUUGACUGCAAAUGUGCCAAACAGUCGCCGCCGCCGGUCUUAGUACGCUAUAGCCAGGUACACUUGCGUCGCGUAUACUGUGUAGCAUUAUACGUAUCUGGCGGCGCGUGCAAUUUAUGUAAAUCGUAUGAGUUGGUUUUUUUUCGAUCGGCGACGAGCCCUAUCGUGCCGAAGCCGAACCACAUACGUAUAAUAAUAUAAUAAUAACACACAAUAUAAUUUACGUAUUAUACGUGUACCGCGUAGUGUUGUAGAUAUAUGUAGGUAUAUAUUGUAUAUAUUAUAUUUAUAAAAAAAAAAAGAGCACCCCCGAAGGGCUUGCUAUUAUUAUCAUCAUAAUAUACACGCUGUCGAGCGAGCGUGCGCGAUCUCCUAUCCAUCUACGGCAGUAUACGGUAUACGUAUAUUGUAUAUGUUUAAACGGUCCAGCGUUAAAUCCGGUGACUGAUGGCACACACACACACACACACACACACACACACACACACUUUGAGUCUGUCGUAUCCCGUUUCAUCGGUAACGUACCCGCCGGGCCGCCGCGCGCGUAUGAAACCGGUCCCCUCAGCGCCCCGGACACGACGAUUAUGAUGACCAGCUCGGGCCGACGGCUAUAUACGACGGUGUGUGUGUGUACGAGUAGCGGACUGACUGGACGUCGUGGCGUGCGCAGUGAUUGACGGCCAUCGAUUAUAUACUCU